Molecule: long non-coding RNA, 441 nt
Filed under: Monodelphis domestica (gray short-tailed opossum)
Lineage: Eukaryota; Metazoa; Chordata; Mammalia; Didelphimorphia; Didelphidae
Description: lncRNA (ENSMODG00000048138.1)
Source: RNAcentral
UAUUAGAUGCUUCCAGCUCCUUCUCCAAUUGUGAAGUCUUGUCUAUCAGACUGCUGAUCUCUUUCUCCCAUUUUUUUUUCCAAAAGGUUUCCAUCUUUUGGGUAAGCUCCAGUUUGAGAUCUUCCAGAGCUUGUGAAUAGUUUCCAUUUUUGGAGUCUAUGGGAAAUACUACUGACCCAUGAAUCAGAAAAGAAUAAGAUUUGAGGAUUAUUGUUUUUGUCUCCCUGAGGAUAUGCAGCUACCUCAUUUUCGAACAGGGAAACAGGCUCUAAAUCUUCAGUCUUUGCACAGAUCCCCAAGGACUGAGCCUACAUGAAAGCUGAAAUACUCUACCCAUAGCACUGACUGUGAAAGAAAGGGCCAGUGGCAUGACACUGCCUCUUUCCGCAUUAUACUGGUUCUUGGAAUAAAUUGAUUACUUUGAUCUUAAAAGCUGUAAAU